CUUAUCCCUGCACUGGCACCAGGUUAAUAACUCCUUUAUCUCUACUGAAGUCUGGCAGCACUAUCAUCAUUCAUUUGUACUGGUGUGGUGAUCCAGAAGACACCUUGUCAACCUCAAUGAUGCUGUUGGGGCAGCAUAAACAAGGCACUCCUGUUUCUGAAACAGUCCCCUGUCACAUGCAGAGCAGCUGAUGGAACAGAGAACCACCUUUGUACACGCUCAGUGCCACCCAUGGAUACACAUUGCUGCUGGAGCCUGGUGCUGCUGGAGAGGUUACAUGGGACUGGAUGAGCUUUGCAACUUGGUUGAGAUACUGUGGCUUUAUGACUGCAUAAAGGAAGUCCAGGAGCUUGUCUCUCACUACCAAGUCAAGUUUCAUGUUCCACUCCAGAAGGAAUUUCUUUUGUUGGAAUGGCCCAAAUCAGGGUUUGGAGUGACCUUUCCAUGCAGAUGUUCUGCAGAGAACCCAGUCCCCAGAAAACCCAACAGGGAUGAGCCAGGAAAUGAAGUGCUGAGAAUCUCGGGCUUGAUCUGGAAGGCAGCCAGGGCACACUCCCGAAAGCAAGCAGGAAGGCUUCUGCCUUGAAUAAGGGCUGACGGAUCCUUUGUUGCAGACAUUGGAGGUAAUCCCUUUAAGAAAACCACCUGAGCUAGCAGAAAACUGCAGAGCAGCCCAUUUGUCAAGCAGCUGUACAGGCUUGUUGAUAUAUUUGUUCUGGAGACAAUGCCUCUUACACACUGCUCAGCUGGGAAGCAUUUGGAAACAUUUUAUGGACGGAUUCAGCAUUAAAUGGUGGGGUUGACUGCAGACUGCAGUGAAAGAUUGUAGUAUCUAAGUCAUCUUUCAACAAGCUCAUGCCAUUUUUAGAUGCAAUUUACCUGGUAACAUUCACCCUGGGGAAGCACAGACGUCACCUGUGCUCUCAUUCACCCAAGCAGAUCACUUCACACAGCUUCACUAAGAGCUAAGCCAUCAGAGGAGCCCUGAUGGCAGAAGUCGCAAGAGAAGGACUAAAUCAAAGCACCACCAUUCAGCUGGAAAGUCUCUGUGUCUCUGUGUGCUGCUCCUGUUGGAGCUGGAAUGGAUCUGUCUGUGUGGGCCAAGACUUGUAGACCCUCCUGCCACUGUGAGCCAGUGCUAGGACAAAUCCAGGUGGAGAUGCUUGGUCCUUUGGUACAGAAACAGAGCUGAUGUUGGCUGCACUCCCUGCCGUAAGCACCGCACUUCCCAUAAAUCAUUAAUUUUUAACUUCUCUCAGUCUAUGCCAGGAACUAAAUCACUGUAAAAUAACUCAUGCUCAAUUUGAAAAAGAGACUGAGAUAAGCCAAGAUAUUACCUUUCCUCUUUGAAGGAAUUUUACUCUCUGAGGCCUAGUAGGUACAGUAGAACUGUUUGCACAUUCCACCAUCUCUGUCCUUCCUUUCUAGUUCCUCACUGGACUUUUCUCAUCACAGAAACUCUCUAAUAAUUUUCCUCUUCAUGUUCGUAUGCCUUUUCUAAACUCUACUCUCUGAAUUUUCAUCUUGUUUAAAUUUAUCUUUCUCUACUUUUUCCAUUAUUAUUUUCUCUAUUAUUUCCAUUAUUAGAAAGGUAUAAAGGCUAAAUGAGGUGAAUGAGAGUUUCACCCUCCAAUUUUUUUAGUUGCAUUUUCCCAGUCAAGCCCUGGUUCUCAGUCUCAAAAUUCUUACAUUAAAGUUUCCCCUUCAAACUUAGACUAGAUGUAGCUAACAUGCCCAAAACUUUGAAGGCGGAUUUCUGAGUUCCUUUCAGCCUAGUAGGUAAAAACCUGCCUCUGGCUCUGCUCUCAAGAUACAUCAAAUGAUCAUGCUGUCUGCUUUCAAACUUUCACCUGAAAUGAAAGUGAGUUUCUAUCUUGAUUUCUUAGCCAUAUUUAGACUAUUGAUUUUAAAAUUUCUAGUUUAUCUAAUAAGUUUGCAUGUAAGGUAUAAAUGAGAUCAAAAGCCUACUUUGGCUGCUUUUAUUUGCAAAGCAGUAUGUUUUACAAUCUCACAAGCAGUAUGUUUUACAGUCUUUACAAUCUCAGUGUUUUUUCCCCUUAAGUGGCUUUAAAAGCAGUUGAUACCAUUGCAGCAUGUUUACACCUGCUUUAUAAACAUCACUGGUGCUGUCCCAAGCACUGGAGGAGCACACUGGUGACAUUAACAUGUCUGCAGCACAGCAGAAGGGAGAUGGGGUGUUCUGCACCUGAGCUUGGCUAUGAGACAUGUUUGUUGUUCUUGUGCCACACAACCCUGCCCCUCCAACUAGCUGGGAUCCAUCCAGAGUCUCCAGGAAGGGAUAAAAUACUACUUCAGUUUCAGCAUAGAAAGUCUCCCUGCUGUGCAAAAAUCCAUAACUACCCAACCCCUGACAGGGGCUGGCAAUUUUCCUGGAGGUCUUGAUCAUGAGAGCUUGUCCAUCCAGGUCAGGAAAAGGUGGAUGGAUGGAGCAGCCCUGGGAAAUCUGUAUACCACAUGCUGCCAAAAACCCAUUCAGUGAAAGUCUUCUGUCUUCCAUGCAGUUUCAUAAAGAAUUUUCAUGGCAUAUGAAAUGAGUCAGGAUUUUUUCUGGUUAAAUUAUAUUUGUAGUCUGUGGAGAAGUACACUUUCCUUGCAAGCUGAACAGUUACUGCAGAGGAUUAAUUUUAGUUUAACUUUGAUCAGAAAAGGUCUGUUAGGUACAGAGAGGUAAAUCUCAUCUAAGAAUAGUUUUGUUUUAGUCACGGAACAAAAUUCACAUUUCCUAAAACAAAACAAACAAAACAAGGUGAAAGGGAGUAAGAGAAAACAGAGAGAAGGGAAGGGCUAAGAUCUGAUAAAUGUUGGAGACUGUGACCUAUUACUUAUGAAAUUACUGUGCUGUGAAAAUAAAAGUUUGUUCUGUUCUGCUUAGGAAUUUAGG
Parus major (Great Tit) is the source of this 2902-nucleotide long non-coding RNA. NCBI's taxonomy places the organism in Eukaryota, Metazoa, Chordata, Aves, Passeriformes, Paridae. The record is from Ensembl.